This 761-nucleotide long non-coding RNA is filed under the name Fukomys damarensis (Damara mole-rat). Its description in RNAcentral is "lncRNA (ENSFDAG00000021978.1)". Lineage: Eukaryota; Metazoa; Chordata; Mammalia; Rodentia; Bathyergidae. The record is from RNAcentral.
GGAAAUUAUUUUUCUUCCUAGUAAACUAUAUGAAGUGAUCAUAUGGAGUUACUUAGGAAUCUAAAGAAUACUCAUAUCUAGGAUCAAUACAGUUGUGUUUAUUUGCUAGAUUUAACAGCAUGGGUGUCUGCAAUAUUUUCCUUUUGAUAGAGUUUUGUUUAGAAAUUGAUUUAAAUCAGAUGUUGGGAAGAAUUUUGAAACUGUCUUACACAUUUGGUUUGUUUUUUUUCUUUUUCAUUUAUCUUUUGUAGAUAUUGUACCCCAAGAUAUUUGGACUAUGAAGAUUUGGAGCGCAAGUACUGGAAGAAUUUAACUUUCGUGGCACCUAUCUAUGGUGCAGAUAUUAAUGGGAGCAUAUAUGAUGAGGACACAUUCUCAACAACAAUGGGAAGAUGACAGCAGCAGUGCUCAGUACACCUGUCCGGAAAAUGUCAGACUACAACUUAACUGCUCUCUCUCUUCUCUUCCUGAGAAUUGCGCACAAUUGAAAUGAUCCUGUGGUGGACAUCCCAGAAAAUUUUUGAUUGGACAGUGAAUUCUGGAAAAAUAUUUAUAUUAUUAAAGCAUAUAUUUGGAAAAUGAAUACAGGAAAUGAAGGAGAUGUGUAUUUUUGUACUUCUUCUGCCGUAGACUGGGUCCAGUGAUGGCAGCUGUCGUUUGGUAUAUGCUGUCUAGCCCUCGUCCCUAAUGUGCCUACUGCACAAAUAUGCCUACGUAACUGUAGAACUGAUGAGCACAUAGCAACAAAAAAAGGGCCUGGG